Molecule: long non-coding RNA, 1199 nt
Filed under: Apteryx haastii (Great spotted kiwi)
Lineage: Eukaryota; Metazoa; Chordata; Aves; Apterygiformes; Apterygidae
Description: lncRNA (ENSAHAG00000009469.1)
Source: RNAcentral
GAUUAUAUUCUUUUCUUUGGAGACUUCAUACCUGAUUUAUUUAUUUAUUUAUUUAUUUAUUUUUACCUCCCCUUUGGGUUUUUUUGUUUGCUUUUGAAGAACUCUCUCUGCUGGGUAAGCCUCUUUGGAGCAGGCUUUGGGGGCAGUCAAGGAGUCUCAGUUCGGACCCUGCAGCUGCGGUGGCGGCACAGAGCAGCAAGGUGCCAACCAGCCACUUUCACCCUAUUGAUAAAACUCCUAGCCAGGCUGGCUCAUCCUGGGAGUGACUGCCCCGAAGCCAUGCUGGUAUUGCGGGUUUAUUUUUCGGUUAUAAAGAAUUUUCUUCGAUAAUGCAGAGGGAAUAACAGAGGGAGUAUAAGCCUCCCAGGGUGGAAGGACAGUUUUUUCUCUACCUCUUUUCUAGCAGUAGGAAAUCUCUUUGGCUUCYAUGAGUGAUGACCUGGAAUGGAUGGCUAUAAUUCCCUUUUUUAAAAAUGUGCUGGUAACUUAAAGAGUCCUAGUUAUGCUUAUUGAAGCAUGUGGAAUUACAGGCAAGGCCUGUCUAAGGCUCGGGCUGCGUGUGUAAGGUUCUAACUGCUUGCAGAGAUUAAAUUAUUUAAUGCACAAAGUUAAUGUUCUUCCCUCAAGUCUAAAGAUGUAAAAGAGUUUUGCAGAGUUUAAUCUUUGAUUUUUUUUUUCCCCCCAGCUUUACAUAGCUUGAAGUGCUUGAAUCAAAUUAGCAAUUAAAUACAUGAAGUAAUGUAUUGAAGAGAGACCGUUCAGUUUAUUAGUUGAAAGAACUUGCAGCAUACGUCUUUGUCUAAAACAAAUGGAGCUGAAACCUUUCAAAAGCAUUCAUAAAAGUGUGCUAUUUUCUUCCUUUCUAAGCAUAAAUCAGGGUAAUUUUUCCUGACAAACCUCUCCCUUUUGGCCCUCUGCUCCAUAACCUGCUUUUCACCCUCUUCCUGCGCCCAUUACGGAAUCAUCUCCCAACCCGCAGCCAGCAGCCGUUGUUCAGCGGAGUUGCCCACGUGUGUCGACGGGGCCAUAACUUGGUUGGUUAAACCAGUAACGGCGCUGCAUGAUAGUUAAAAAUUCAGUAAGACUGCUGAAUACCACAAACUCGAGCUUCCGCAGAGACUUUUUUGGAGAGUAACUUUUCAAUGAAGAACUGUGCUUUGGAAAAUAAACGUGCUGCAUAACGUACUGCUGGAAUCUAA